RNAcentral lists this ribosomal RNA (421 nucleotides) under uncultured bacterium. RNAcentral describes it as "partial 16S ribosomal RNA". It matches the Rfam family "Bacterial small subunit ribosomal RNA", at positions 360 to 773 of the family's 1533-position model. The record is from RNAcentral.
AAUAUUGGACAAUGGGGGCAACCGUGAUCCAGCCAUGCCGCGUGUGUGUAGAAGGUCUUCGGAUUGUAAAGCACUGUAAGAUGGGAGGAAGGGCUUUAGGUAAUGACCCUGAAGGUUGGACGUUACCAACAGAAUAAUAACCGGUAACCGCUGUGCCACUAGCCGGAGUAAUACAGAGGGUGCAAGCGUUAAUCGGAAUAACUGGGCGUAAAGCGCGCGUAGGUGGUUCAGUAAGCUGGGUGUUAAAUCCCCGGGCUUAACCUGGGAACUGCUUUCAUAACUGCUGAGCUAGAGUACGGUAGAGGGUAGUGGAAUUUCCUGUGUAGCGGUGAAAUGCGUAGAUAUAGGAAGGAACACCAGUGGCGAAGGCGACUACCUGGACUGAUACUGACACUGAGGUGCGAAAGCGUGGGGAGCAAAC